RNAcentral lists this long non-coding RNA (585 nucleotides) under Homo sapiens (human). Its description in RNAcentral is "HSALNT0190516". The record is from RNAcentral. Lineage: Eukaryota; Metazoa; Chordata; Mammalia; Primates; Hominidae.
AUGAGGCAUUUUUGAAUAAGUCAGAAGAAUGGAUAAGAAAGAUGCUUCAUCUUAGGAAACAGUUAUUAUCGCUGACUAAUCAGUGUUUUGAUAUUGAAGAAGAAGUAUCAAAAUAUCAAGAAUAUACUAAUGAGUUACAAGAAACUCUGCCUCAGAAAAUGUUUACAGCUUCCAGUGGAAUCAAACAUACCAUGACCCCAAUUUAUCCAAGUUCUAACACAUUAGUAGAAAUGACUCUUGGGUAAGAAACUCAUCAUUUGGAAACUGUAGUGUUUCCAUUUGCUUUCAUUGCAGUUUGUGCUUUUGCUCUUACAUUUUGAAAUUUUUUAUGUUUGUUGUAAUACAAUGUUUAAUAAGGUUAUCUAUUGACCAGUUAAAAGAAAAUAAAACAUAAACAUCAUUCUAAAACAUUUGCAUACUGUUUUUGAGCAAAGGUGCUUGUUUAUUUUAUUAGUAUGAAGAAAUUAAAGGAAGAGAUGGAAGGGGUGGUUAAAGAACUUGCUGAAAAUAACCACAUUUUAGAAAGACGGAGUUUCGCUGUUGCCCAGGCUGGAGUCCAAUGGCGUGAUCUCAGCUCACUGUAAC